This 607-nucleotide ribosomal RNA is filed under the name Pelomonas sp. Se1Ps_2117. RNAcentral describes it as "bacterial SSU rRNA". It matches the Rfam family "Bacterial small subunit ribosomal RNA", at positions 395 to 995 of the family's 1533-position model. The record is from RNAcentral. Lineage: Bacteria; Pseudomonadati; Pseudomonadota; Betaproteobacteria; Burkholderiales; Sphaerotilaceae.
UGCCGCGUGCGGGAAGAAGGCCUUCGGGUUGUAAACCGCUUUUGUCAGGGAAGAAAAGGUUCUGGUUAAUACCUGGGACUCAUGACGGUACCUGAAGAAUAAGCACCGGCUAACUACGUGCCAGCAGCCGCGGUAAUACGUAGGGUGCAAGCGUUAAUCGGAAUUACUGGGCGUAAAGCGUGCGCAGGCGGUUAUGCAAGACAGAUGUGAAAUCCCCGGGCUCAACCUGGGAACUGCAUUUGUGACUGCAUAACUUGAGUACGGUAGAGGGGGGUGGAAUUCCGCGUGUAGCAGUGAAAUGCGUAGAUAUGCGGAGGAACACCGAUGGCGAAGGCAAUCCCCUGGACCUGUACUGACGCUCAUGCACGAAAGCGUGGGGAGCAAACAGGAUUAGAUACCCUGGUAGUCCACGCCCUAAACGAUGUCAACUGGUUGUUGGGAGGGUUUCUUCUCAUUAACGAAGCUCACGCGUGAAGUUGACCGCCUGGGGAGUACGGCCGCAAGGUUGAAACUCACAGGAAUUGACGGGGACCCGCACAAGCGGUGGAUGAUGUGGUUUAAUUCGAUGCAACGCGAAAAACCUUACCUACCCCUGACAUGUCUGGAA